Molecule: unclassified non-coding RNA, 345 nt
Filed under: soil metagenome
Description: partial contains 5.8S ribosomal RNA, internal transcribed spacer 2, and large subunit ribosomal RNA
Rfam family: 5.8S ribosomal RNA (bases 1-120)
Source: RNAcentral
GAUGAAGAACGUAGCGAAAUGCGAUAAGUAAUGUGAAUUGCAGAAUUCAGUGAACCAUCGAAUCUUUGAACGCACAUUGCGCCCGGCAGUAAUCUGCCGGGCAUGCCUGUCCGAGCGUCAUUGCUGCCCUCAAGCACGGCUUGUGUGUUGGGCCUCCGUCCUCCUCCCGGGGGACGGGCCCGAAAGGCAGCGGCGGCACCGCGUCCGGUCCUCGAGCGUAUGGGGCUUCGUCACCCGCUCUUGUAGGCCCGGCCGGCGCUUGCCGACACAUCAAUCUUUUUUCCAGGUUGACCUCGGAUCAGGUAGGGAUACCCGCUGAACUUAAGCAUAUCAAUAAGCGGAGGA